This 253-nucleotide ribosomal RNA is filed under the name uncultured bacterium. Its description in RNAcentral is "partial 16S ribosomal RNA". It matches the Rfam family "Bacterial small subunit ribosomal RNA", at positions 524 to 776 of the family's 1533-position model. The record is from RNAcentral.
UACGUAGGGUGCGAGCGUUAAUCGGAAUUACUGGGCGUAAAGCGUGCGCAGGCGGUUCGUUGUGUCUGUCGUGAAAGCCCCGGGCUUAACCUGGGAACUGCGAUGGAAACUAGCGAGCUGGAGUGUGGCAGAGGGGGGUGGAAUUCCGCGUGUAGCAGUGAAAUGCGUAGAGAUGCGGAGGAACACCGAUGGCGAAGGCAGCCCCCUGGGCUAACACUGACGCUCAGGCACGAAAGCGUGGGGAGCAAACAGG